Molecule: ribosomal RNA, 258 nt
Filed under: uncultured bacterium
Lineage: Bacteria
Description: partial 16S ribosomal RNA
Rfam family: Bacterial small subunit ribosomal RNA
Source: RNAcentral
CGGGUGAGUAACACGUGAGUGACCUGCCUUUUAGACUGGAACAACUUACCGAAAGGUGAGCUAAUGCCGGAUGAGUUAUAUAAGUGCAUGUUUAUAUAGGAAAAGUUGGGGAGACCUGACGCUGAAAGAUGGACUCGCGUCCCAUUAGCUAGUUGGUAGGGUAAUGGCCUACCGAGGCGACGAUGGGUAGCCGGCCUGAGAGGGUGGCCGGCCACACUGGGACUGAGACACGGCCCAGACUCCUACGGGAGGCAGCAG